GGAUCCAGAUUUGAUUCUGGCUCAUGAUGAACGCUAGCGGCAGGCUUAACACAUGCAAGUCGAGGGGCAGCGCGGGGCGGCAACGUCCUGGCGGCGACCGGCGGAAGGGUGCGUAACGCGUGAGCGACAUGCCCGUUGCCCGGGGACAACCGGUGGAAACGCCGACUAAUCCCCGAUGGGACGGAGGCCCUCAUGGGUCUCUGUUGAAAGUUACGGCGGCGACGGAUUGGCUCGCGUCCGAUUAGCUUGUUGGCGGGGUAACGGCCCACCAAGGCUACGAUCGGUAGGGGUUCUGAGAGGAAGGUCCCCCACAAUGGAACUGAGACACGGUCCAUACUCCUACGGGAGGCAGCAGUGAGGAAUAUUGGUCAAUGGGCGGAAGCCUGAACCAGCCAUGCCGCGUGCGGGAAGGAGGCCCUAUGGGCUGUGAACCGCUUUUGCCUGGGGGCAAUAAGGGCGUCGCGCACGUCCGAUGAGAGUACCAGGGGAAUAAGCAUCGGCUAACUCCGUGCCAGCAGCCGCGGUAAUACGGGGGAUGCGAGCGUUAUCCGGAUUCAUUGGGUUUAAAGGGUGCGUAGGCUGUGCGUCAAGUCAGGGGUGAAAUUCCGGGGCUCAACUCCGGGGCUGCCCUUGAUACUGUCGCGCUGGAGUGC
This 653-nucleotide ribosomal RNA is filed under the name uncultured Bacteroidota bacterium. Its description in RNAcentral is "bacterial SSU rRNA". It matches the Rfam family "Bacterial small subunit ribosomal RNA", at positions 1 to 649 of the family's 1533-position model. The record is from RNAcentral. Lineage: Bacteria; Pseudomonadati; Bacteroidota.